RNAcentral lists this ribosomal RNA (460 nucleotides) under uncultured bacterium. RNAcentral describes it as "partial 16S ribosomal RNA". It matches the Rfam family "Bacterial small subunit ribosomal RNA", at positions 338 to 795 of the family's 1533-position model. The record is from RNAcentral.
CCUACGGGAGGCAGCAGUGAGGAAUAUUGGUCAAUGGCCGGAAGGCUGAACCAGCCAUGCCGCGUGAAGGUCAGUGCCCUAUGGGCGUUAAACUUCUUUUGUGCGGGAGCAAUAAUGGUCACGUGUGGCCAGACGAGAGUACCGUACGAAUAAGCAUCGGCUAACUCCGUGCCAGCAGCCGCGGUAAUACGGGGGAUGCAAGCGUUAUCCGGAGUUAUUGGGGUUAAAGGGUGCGUAGGCUGUGAGGUAAGUCGGCGGUGAAAUGCCCCCGCUCAACGGGGUGAAGUGCCAUUGAUACUGCCUUGCUGGAAUGCGGAUGCCGUGGGAGGAAUGUGUGGUGUAGCGGUGAAAUGCAUAGAUAUCACACAGAACACCGAUUGCGAAGGCAUCUCACGAAUCCGCGAUUGACGCUGAUGCACGAAAGCGUGGGUAUCAAACAGGAUUAGAUACCCCAGUAGUC